CGACCUUUUUUGUUCCUUUUGAUUUGCUCUACUUUUUCCUCUUUUAAGUUCUUCUGUUUUGGAAUUUAAUUUUUUCUAUUUUGGAAGUUGAACUUGAAGUUCCUUUUUGUUAUUGUAUUUCUCAUGGUGGGUUGUUGCUUUUCUUUUUUCCAGGGCUAAUUCAUUUACUAGUGUAGCUGAAUUGCUCUGGGAAUUUUGACCUCUUCAUGGGCCUUAACCGGUCUUGUAAGAUCUUUUCUUCAUCUUACUAUAGCUUGCUUCCUUCUAUGUGGAUCAACCUUGGGUUAUUUUGCUUGGAAAUUUUGUGAUGUUUUUGGAAUUCUCUUGCCUUGCCCUUGCUCUGGGUUUUUGGGUACCAAAAUAGCAACCACUGCUGGCAUAAUCUGCUUAUUCAAUGGCCAAGGAGAAAAAUAUACUCUGUUCAAAAUCUGGCUUUGAAUACGUUCCCUUUCGACUCGGUUUCGAUCAACUAUAGAGAGUUGAAACCGAAUGAUGUAAAAUUUGGCAUCGGGGUCAUUGGAUUGGAAGGUGAAGCAUGUUCUAUUUCACUUUCAAGUCUGAAAUUGCAAACUAUGGUGGAUAAAGAUGGCAUCCAUUGGAAAGAGAACCAUGAAUCAAAAGCAGAAAUCGUGAACUCAGAGGCGGCGGCGGACUGCUUUCGGUAAUGGAAAAUCUACUCCAGUAUUGUUGUCUGAUGAUAAAAGAACUCAAACUUGCACGGAUGUCAGUGAGGCAACCCGGCAUCUUGAAGCAACUUUUCAUGUGAAUUUUGCUUCAGGGCAUCAUUCGUUGAGUUGAAGUUUUCAUUGCUUUUUGAGUUCUGAUAUUUUAUUAGCAUUACAUGUGUGUUGACCUACGUGAACAUGCUAUUUCAGAUGAUAAAAGUACUCAACCUUGCACGGAUGUCAGUGAGGCAACCCGGCAUGGUUUAGAAUUGAGCAGUGGAGAGGAAAAAGGUUCAACUUUUCUGAAAAAAUCUAUAGCUGCGACGACACUAAUGAAAUAUUUGGGUUUAUCAGAGAUGAAGCGAAUCAGAUCAGAAUGUUGGAACAAGCUCUUGAAGAAGAGAAAACUAAACAUGCUGCUAUAUGCUUGGAGUUGGAUAAAGAAAGGGCUGCAGCCGCUUCGGCUGCCGAUGAAGCCAUGGCGAUGAUUUUGCGUCUGCAAGAGGAUAAGGCUU
Molecule: long non-coding RNA, 1180 nt
Organism: Hibiscus syriacus
Lineage: Eukaryota; Viridiplantae; Streptophyta; Magnoliopsida; Malvales; Malvaceae
Exons: 2
Source: RefSeq, a predicted model, not a curated record